Molecule: ribosomal RNA, 387 nt
Filed under: uncultured bacterium
Lineage: Bacteria
Description: bacterial SSU rRNA
Rfam family: Bacterial small subunit ribosomal RNA
Source: RNAcentral
GACGAACGCUGGCGGCGUGCUUAACACAUGCAAGUCGAGCGGUAAGGCCCUUUCGGGGGUACACGAGCGGCGAACGGGUGAGUAACACGUGGGUGACCUGCCUUUAGCUCUGGGAUAAGCCUGGGAAACUGGGUCUAAUACCGGAUACGACUCCGCGGUGCAUGCUGUGGGGUGGAAAGCCUUGUGCGGCUGGAGAUGGGCCCGCGGCCUAUCCAGCUUGUUGGUGGGGUGAUGGCCACCAAGGCGACGACGGUAGCCGGCCUGAGAGGGCGACCGGCCACACUGGGACUGAGACACGGCCCAGACUCCUACGGGAGGCAGCAGUGGGGAAUCUUGCGCAAUGGGCGAAAGCCUGACGCAGCGACGCCGCGUGAGGGAUGACGGCCU